RNAcentral lists this non-coding RNA (23 nucleotides) under Mus musculus (house mouse). RNAcentral also lists the same sequence under 1 other name. The record is from RNAcentral. Lineage: Eukaryota; Metazoa; Chordata; Mammalia; Rodentia; Muridae.
GAUGCAGUUGUGCCUGAUAGGAG